RNAcentral lists this ribosomal RNA (449 nucleotides) under uncultured bacterium. RNAcentral's name for it is "partial 16S ribosomal RNA". It matches the Rfam family "Bacterial small subunit ribosomal RNA", at positions 29 to 523 of the family's 1533-position model. The record is from RNAcentral.
AACGAACGCUGGCGGCAUGCCUAACACAUGCAAGUCGAACGAGAUCUUCGGGUCUAGUGGCGCACGGGUGCGUAACGCGUGGGAAUCUGCCCUUUGGUUCGGAAUAACAGUUGGAAACGACUGCUAAUACCGGAUGAUGACGAAAGUCCAAAGAUUUAUCGCCAGAGGAUGAGCCCGCGUAGGAUUAGCUAGUUGGUGUGGUAAAGGCGCACCAAGGCGACGAUCCUUAGCUGGUCUGAGAGGAUGAACAGCCACACUGGGACUGAGACACGGCCCAGACUCCUACGGGAGGCAGCAGUGGGGAAUAUUGGACAAUGGGCGAAAGCCUGAUCCAGCAAUGCCGCGUGAGUGAUGAAGGCCUUAGGGUUGUAAAGCUCUUUUACCCGGGAUGAUAAUGACAGUACCGGAAGAAUAAGCUCCGGCUAACUCCGUGCCAGCAGCCGCCGUAA